RNAcentral lists this ribosomal RNA (492 nucleotides) under uncultured bacterium. RNAcentral describes it as "partial 16S ribosomal RNA". It matches the Rfam family "Bacterial small subunit ribosomal RNA", at positions 29 to 507 of the family's 1533-position model. The record is from RNAcentral.
AGUGAACGCUGGCGGUAGGCCUAACACAUGCAAGUCGAACGGCAGCACAGUAAGAGCUUGCUCUUACGGGUGGCGAGUGGCGGACGGGUGAGGAAUACAUCGGAAUCUACUUUUUCGUGGGGGAUAACGUAGGGAAACUUACGCUAAUACCGCAUACGACCUACGGGUGAAAGCAGGGGAUCUUCGGACCUUGCGCGAUUGAAUGAGCCGAUGUCGGAUUAGCUAGUUGGCGGGGUAAAGGCCCACCAAGGCGACGAUCCGUAGCUGGCCUGAGAGGAUGAUCAGCCACACUGGAACUGAGACACGGUCCAGACUCCUACGGGAGGCAGCAGUGGGGAAUAUUGGACAAUGGGCGCAAGCCUGAUCCAGCCAUACCGCGUGGGUGAAGAAGGCCUUCGGGUUGUAAAGCCCUUUUGUUGGGAAAGAAAAGCAGCAGGUUAAUACCCCGCUGUUCUGACGGUACCCAAAGAAUAAGCAUCGGCUAACUUCGUG